UUGGUGUUCCGCACUACACUCAGUGGCAGCCACCUAUUUGUUGACCUGUUGCCAUCCCGCAGCAAACGCGGGAUAAAAAAAUUCUUUUUGCGGGAAAUUUAACCGGCGUAAUGAUCACACAUCUGAAUUUGCGACCAUUUUUUUACAAAAAAGUGCGAUCAUUAUGCGGGUAAAUACAGUACUCUUGUGACACCAAGCUCACUUGUUUUAAUGCAGGUGUGGCUGGGCCUGCAGAAAAGCUGUAAGCAGACUGCAGUGUUGCUGAUCAGUGCUGAUCUCCACGUCCGAGUUGGUCCCACAAUAUCCAGGCACCACGGUGCUUUCACAAGAGGCAUACGAGCACUUUGUUUCAAAAACGCCAAGCACCGUGGAUACAGAGGCAAGGAGGCUGAAGGACCUGAACAAGCACCUGGCCACCAUGCUUCGGGAUGCAAAAUAAAGAUGGUUUGUGUUAA
This 455-nucleotide long non-coding RNA is filed under the name Dermacentor andersoni. RNAcentral's name for it is "uncharacterized LOC126542567". Lineage: Eukaryota; Metazoa; Arthropoda; Arachnida; Ixodida; Ixodidae. The record is from RNAcentral.